GCUAUAAAAGAUGUAACAGAUGCAAACUGUAACACAAGGGCCAUUAACCCUUUCUCUGCUGCCGAGAACUCUCAGUCCCACGCCCCGCACCUAUUGUCUCCUGUGCUAGAAGCUUUGCAGAAAACCUGGAAAGCACCCCUUCUCACUUCAGACUCUCGUCUUCACUCAAAAUGAGAAAAUUUUAAAAAGAGGAUGGGGGACGAACACACCAAAAAAAAAAAAAAGAAAAAAGAAAAAAGGAUAAAAGGUUUUUAAAAGGCGGGGAAAAACCUACCUGCGAAGUCUUGUUUGUAGUUUUGGCCAGAAAUGGUGAGAAGAAAAAGCAUGAAGAAGCCGCGAAGUGUGGGGGAGAAAAAGGUGGAAGCGAAGAAACAGCUCCCGGAGCAAACUGUACAAAACCUCGCCAAGAGUGUCGGGAGGCAGGACCGUUAUUCCUGCGGAGCAGGAGAGAGAGGACAGACCCUGAAACACGCGCCACCUAUCUUUGUGGGGAGGGAUAAUUGAAGCGCCCUGAGCGUGAGCAUCAUGUGAAAACGUGAUCGCCAAGUUUCUCUCUGGGAAAGGAUCUGGG
Molecule: long non-coding RNA, 571 nt
Organism: Marmota monax (woodchuck)
Lineage: Eukaryota; Metazoa; Chordata; Mammalia; Rodentia; Sciuridae
Exons: 3
Source: RefSeq, a predicted model, not a curated record